GGAAGUGAUUAAUCAAAUAAGUCUGAAAUGUACAAAUAUCCCUUCAGUUCUGUCUUUCCAUCUCUUGCUUUGUUUCUCAGACACAACGAACUGACUGAAUGUGUCUGCAAGUUUAUUAUUUAUUUAUUUUUUCAUUUUUAAUGGCAACUUCUCUCUUUUUUGUGGUGGACGAUAAGUUAUGGUUUAGCCCUGGGUCUGUCCACUUGUCUGAAUAAAAGAGAAUAAAUCUAUCUCUACUUUAUCAGUCUUUUAUUCAGAGAAGUGAACAGAACACAGCACUGAGAACCAGGAACAAACAGAACUCAGAUUAAAUUGGAAUUUCAUAUUUUGAAGGAAAGGCAAUAAUGUGACACUCAUGAGUUCACUGCAGAGGGAUGUGACCAGAAACAAAAAACAGAAAUCAUCAUCUAAUCCACUGUGUUUCUCUGGCUCCAGUUUCAUGUGUUUUAUUCAGUGAUGUUCCUUUAAACAACUGAUCACUUCUUUACUUUGGCUCCUCCUCUUCUCCGUUUCCUGGUUUGACUUUACUUUCACUUUCUCCAGGGUCGUGUCGCAGAUCUUUUUCUCCAUCUGAAGGUAAUGAAGCAGUUUGUGGUGUUUUCUUCAUCAGCAGAAAUCUGCCGCUCCAUAGUUCACGUUAAACUCAGUCACAGCUGAAAGGAAAGAGUCUGGAUCAUUUUGUUUCUCUGGUCCGUUUGUGUCACUCGGUGCAUGAAUAUGAUUGAAGGUGAUUUUCUUUCCUUCAUCUUUUCAUCGAGGACACAGUCGGGCUUUUAUUUGUAAACUGUCUGUAGAAUGUUUUUAUGACGUAAAGCGCUGGAAGUAACUCAGUAGUUUGAGCCUCACAGAUAAUAGUAACUAUUCUUGGACCUGGUUCAUAGUCGACGGAAGCGACGCCAGACGCGAAGGACAUAGUGAGAUGAGUUGAACCGUUUAUUCAGAUAUUAUUAUCUCUGUAAAGACUCUGAGGUGAAGUCUCAAAAAUAUCUACUGAGGAGUUUUUAUUUUAUUUUACUGUGAAUCAUCUCGGUUCAUUUAAAUCUGUAUUUAUAUAUUUAUAAAUAAGUCAGAAAGGGGCAGAGAUGAGUUUUACUUCCACCUGCUCGUUUUCGGACGGUUUUAAAUAUAUUUCUCUGUUCAAAAUAAAUAUAUUGAAUUCAAAUUCAAUUCAAUUGUUGUUCUAUCGGGAAAAAUGGGAAUAGAGAAUGUUUUUCUUGGCCAAUAAGACGCAGUAGAGACGGUGGGACACCACCUUGUUGUUUAUGUUUCUUACUGAGUUUGUCCCUCACAUUUAUUUCCAGUCUUUUUUGACACUUUCUUGGCUCUUUCCCAUCGCGACAGUAAUUUCAAUCCACACAUUCUCUGUGUUGUAUGAGAGUAGGGAUGUGGAGUGGGUGCACCCGUACAGUCUUCUUAUGUUGUAUAACAAAGUGGUUGAUAAGUUCAUUACAUGCGUUAAUCACGUCAUUGCGUUUGUGUGUUGGAACUUCCAGUCAGACUCGGUGUCAGUGAACGCAUCACAUGUGUGUCCUCCAUGGCUCCAUCUAGUGGACUGAUAGUAGAAGUACAGCAGCUGAUGAAUAAGAGAGAAUCAGUGGAGGAUCAGCUGAUCUUUUUACAGCAGGAAUGAUUUCAGUUGAUGUUCACAUGAAUGAUGAGUGUUUCCUCUGCAGGUGAAAGAAGAAAGAGUGAAUUCAGCAGCAUGGUCCAGAGAGAGGACAGACUGGAGGGACCUGGACCUGGACCUGGAUCUGGUCCUGGACCUGAACCCAGCUGUGGUUCCUUUAAGAGCGACUGGUCCAAGGGCAUUGGUAUUGAUUUUAAAGAAGGAUGUGGUUCUGGUCCAAAGAGGAAUGAACCUGGACCUGGACCUGAACCCAGCUGUGUGUCCUUUAAGAGCGACCAUUCCAAGGGGUUUUUGAUUGAUUUUAAAGGAGGACGUGGUUCUGGUCCAAAGAGGAGGAAGAGGUAAAGUGUCAAUAAAUGUUUUGUUCUUGUUUCAUUAUUAAACAUUAUUUAUGAGUUUUAUGACAAAGUCAGAGGUAAGUUGACACCUUCCACCUGAUGAACCAGGUUCUGCAGUUCUUGUCACUCAGGCUGAAAUUCAUGGCAGUAACAACCAGGAACAACAAUGCACUUGUUUGUUAAUUCACUUGUGUGUCUAAUCAUGUCUAAGUCUAAGUUUAAGAAUUUCAAAAUAUUAAGAAUGAACCAAAAUACAAAAAUGAAUGUUCCUGACAGUGCUUUGCCUCAGAUGGGCACCAUUUAGUUGAGGAUUGUUUGCACAAAUAUGCUUAUUGUAAUAAUGAAUAAUUAUACUGAUGAGUAUUAUUAUUACUAAUAAUGACUUUUGUUCCUGUAAACCCCAACAUUUUAAAACUAGGUGUCGUGACACAUCUCGCAAAGCUAGCUUCGUUAUCUCUCACACCAAAGUCAAGUCUAACAGAGGUUUCAGCAACAUUCUGUGGGAACUUCUUCCACUGUGCAGUGUGAAGAAGCCUUGAUGUUGCUCUUCACUUCUCUCCAGCUCUGAUGAAGUAUGUGGUUUGUUUUAUGAGUUUGGACCUGCAGCAGCCAGUGAUUACACUACAGAUGCUCUCCGUAAUUUUCUUGAGCACCUGAUUGUACCACCAUCGAUGCCUGGUUUCCCCCAGUGCUUGUAGACCUUGUAGGGUGUUCCACUUGGUCCUGGGGCUGGACCUUGCUUUCUGCAUCACCUCCUGAACUUCUUUCAGAAGCAUCUCCCGCUGAUAAAAGGCCUCAGUGGGCUCUGGUGGUGUUAUAACUGCCUUGCACUGCCCUAGCUCUUCGUUCCUGAUAAUAUCACUGAGGUAUCAUGGAGAUGAUGAUCAGCUUCCACUUCUUACCAGCCAGACGUACGAGGAGCUCCUUCACAAAGCCAAAGGGGUUCUUGAUGAAAGCUGUGCCAGAUUUCAGAUUUCAGACAACUGGAUAAUUGGUUUGGACAGCUUGCAUACUGAUAUAUAUGUAUAUAAUAGUAUAAGAGACUUGUAAUGUUACAUUACAUGUACAUAUUGCAAGUACAGAUAGAAGGAGAAUACAAAAGCAAAAUGGCGCAAGUAAAAUGCCACAGAACACAGUGUAAUCGAUGGUCAAUAAAUAGAAUAAAUAGGUAAAUAAGGGAGGUUACUUGUUUUACUAGCAACAUCUCAUCUUUAUUACCACUUAUUCUCACUAGGGUUGCGGGGGUCGCCUGCUUCUAUCCCAGCUCUCAUCAGUCGAGAGGUCCACCCUAGACAGGUCUCCAGUCUAUCUCAGGGCUAACACAGAGGGAAACAACCAUUCACACUCACACAGAGGAUCAAUUUAGAGUCACCUGACCAUCAACAUAAUAAAGAAAAACAGGGCAAGGAUGUAGUAAAAGUUAGGUUAGCACUGACAUGUAGCAUGCCCUGGUGACUGUUUUCCUGGGGAGUUAGACGAUAAGACAACAACCAUGUGGAGGAAGUAAUGUCUUCAAUCUUGUAAUGGAUGAGAGCUAAUUGUUGAUGAUUGGUCCACAGAGUCCACCAGCAGAGCUCAGAGGUUCUCAGUGGUCAGUCUACCCAGCAGCAUCAGACACAGCUGGACUCCAUCUUUCUGCUGCUGGAGGACAACAUCAUGACUUUUGUGAAG
This is a long non-coding RNA of Mugil cephalus (flathead mullet), 3636 nucleotides long. RefSeq lists it as uncharacterized. The record is from RefSeq and is a predicted model, not a curated record. NCBI's taxonomy places the organism in Eukaryota, Metazoa, Chordata, Actinopteri, Mugiliformes, Mugilidae. The transcript has 3 exons.